GAAAAGAAACCAACAGGGAUUGCCCCAGUAACGGCGAGUGAAGCGGCAACAGCUCAAAUUUGAAAUCUGGCCUCGGCCCGAGUUGUAAUUUGCAGAGGAAGCUUCUGGUGCGGCGCCGUCCGAGUCUCCUGGAACGGAGCGCCAUAGAGGGUGAGAGCCCCGUAUGGACGGAUGCCAAACCUGUGUGAAGCUCCUUCGACGAGUCGAGUAGUUUGGGAAUGCUGCUCUAAAUGGGAGGUAAAUUCCUUCUAAAGCUAAAUAUUGGCCAGAGACCGAUAGCGCACAAGUAGAGUGAUCGAAAGAUGAAAAGCACUUUGAAAAGAGGGUUAAACAGCACGUGAAAUUGUUGAAAGGGAAGCGCUUGUGACCAGACUUGAGCGCGGCGGAUCAUCCGGUGUUCUCACCGGUGCACUCCGCCGCGCCCAGGCCAGCAUCGGUUUCCGCGGGGGGACAAAGGUCCCGGGAACGUAGCUCCUCCGGGAGUGUUAUAGCCCGGGGCGUAAUGCCCCCGCGGGGACCGAGGACCGCGCAUCUGCAAGGAUGCUGGCGUAAUGGUCAUCAGCGACCCGUCUUGAAACACGGACCAAGGAGUCAAGGUUUUGCGCGAGUGUUUGGGUGUUAAACCCGCACGCGUAAUGAAAGUGAACGUAGGUGAGAGCUUCGGCGCAUCAUCGACCGAUCCUGAUGUAUUCGGAUGGAUUUGAGUAGGAGCGUUAAGCCUUGGACCCGAAAGAUGGUGAACUAUGCUUGGAUAGGGUGAAGCCAGAGGAAACUCUGGUGGAGGCUCGCAGCGGUUCUGACGUGCAAAUCGAUCGUCAAAUCUGAGCAUGGGGGCGAAAGACUAAUCGAACCAUCUAGUAGCUGGUUACCGCCG
This 874-nucleotide ribosomal RNA is filed under the name Sordariales sp. RNAcentral's name for it is "partial large subunit ribosomal RNA". It matches the Rfam family "Eukaryotic large subunit ribosomal RNA", at positions 56 to 963 of the family's 3401-position model. The record is from RNAcentral. Lineage: Eukaryota; Fungi; Ascomycota; Sordariomycetes; Sordariales.